ACAUAACAAUGGAAGAAAAAAUUCAAAACUUCUAAAAAAAAACUCCUUCCUCUCUUAACACAAAAUUCUUCACAAACAAUUUAAAACUCAAAUCAAACAUACAAAACGAAAAAAAUAAAAGAAAUGAAAGAAAAAAAAACAGAAAUUGAGGAAUGGCGAUCGGAACUUGGAAGAGGUGUGAUUGUGUUUUACGGAGAUGUUG
RNAcentral lists this long non-coding RNA (202 nucleotides) under Lathyrus oleraceus (garden pea). RNAcentral describes it as "Pisum sativum (pea) long non-coding RNA (PSAT_LNC014609)". Lineage: Eukaryota; Viridiplantae; Streptophyta; Magnoliopsida; Fabales; Fabaceae. The record is from RNAcentral.